GUCGUAGUCCGGAUUGGAGUCUGCAACUCGACUCCAUGAAGUCGGAAUCGCUAGUAAUCGUAGAUCAGAAUGCUACGGUGAAUACGUUCCCGGGCCUUGUACACACCGCCCGUCACACCAUGGGAGUGGGUUGCAAAAGAAGUAGGUAGCUUAACCUUCGGGAGGGCGCUUACCACUUUGUGAUUCAUGACUGGGGUGAAGUCGUAACAAGGUAACCG
RNAcentral lists this ribosomal RNA (218 nucleotides) under Klebsiella pneumoniae IS53. RNAcentral describes it as "Small Subunit Ribosomal RNA; ssuRNA; SSU rRNA". It matches the Rfam family "Bacterial small subunit ribosomal RNA", at positions 1285 to 1502 of the family's 1533-position model. Lineage: Bacteria; Pseudomonadati; Pseudomonadota; Gammaproteobacteria; Enterobacterales; Enterobacteriaceae. The record is from RNAcentral.